Molecule: non-coding RNA, 77 nt
Organism: Podarcis lilfordi (Lilford's wall lizard)
Lineage: Eukaryota; Metazoa; Chordata; Lepidosauria; Squamata; Lacertidae
Source: the annotation of a GenBank genome assembly
GUCUCAUGGAUAGCUCAGCUGGUUAGAGCAUGGUGCUGAUAACAUCAAAGUUGCAGGUUCAAUCCCCAUAAGAGGCA